Molecule: long non-coding RNA, 953 nt
Filed under: Pan troglodytes (chimpanzee)
Lineage: Eukaryota; Metazoa; Chordata; Mammalia; Primates; Hominidae
Description: lncRNA (ENSPTRG00000053661.1)
Source: RNAcentral
AGUGUAUCAUCUUUCUUGCUGCCCUUGAAGAGUGGUGUCCAGUGAAUCUUUCAAAGAAUGAUACUGAGCUUCAUUGUUGAUGAACAAAAAUGCAAAUCUCACCCAGAGCAUGCAGGAACAUGUGAGCAAUAAUUCAUUUACUCAUCAUGUUAAAUUUAUCAUUCAGAAAACAGAUCUUCACACCAUGUCUUCUCUUGACCUUUGUAGGCUAUAAUCACUACACUCCUAGAAUGUGAUCUCUUUCAAUAUUGACUGCAUCCAUGCCUUCCACACACUUGCACCAGUUGGGAGGAUGGAGAUGUCAUCUGGGCAGAGGGAGAAGAGCAGUACCAUUCAGAGGUCUGUCCCUCUUAAGAUAUAUUCUCUCUGUCAACCUAGCAUUCAAUGAACGUCUUAGAAAGGUGAUGGUAAUGUCUAGACCAAACAAAAGAAGAAUAGGAAUCUGUUCAGGUAAGUAAAAAAGAUAGUCUGUCCUCUUUUAGAGUUUUUGUGCUCAGAGGUGAAGUUUUCCCCUCACAUACCUAAUAAAAACUAUAAUUUGCAUUAUAAACUCCCUGCUACGUAGGUUCCUAAGUGGUGGACCAUCUUGACCUUUUAAUUAUUAAUGCUUUUCCUCAAAUUACAAUUAUUUGAGGAAUAAUUACAAUCCCUGUCCUGCUAACUGGCAAUUUUCUAAUAGAGUUUUCAUUUUUCCAUAUUUCAUUAAUUGCAACUUGCGUAUCAUAUAAUGAUAGAAUCUUCAGAACAGUACCUUGUUAACUGGAAAGGUUAUGAAAUGCUAAUGAGCUCUUUUAAAUGGCUAACUCCCUAUAAGACUUUCCAGAUUCUUUCUUUUCUUUAAUGUUUCUUAUAUUUUUAGACAUUCUUCCUUGUAAAGUAUUCUUCAAGAUUAUUUUAAAUAUUCUUGAAAAGAAGUUAACAUAUUUGAUGGCCUUCUGUAUGUUGAACCUGCU